UAUCGGUUUCAUGGAGCGUCACGGCGGAGGGAGAGUGUCUCAAAAAACGAAAAUAUAAAAUGCAUUUCACCACAGACUACACAAAAACGUGUCCUUGUUUAAUAAGGAUGAAAAAUAAUGACAAUGUUACGCGCUGAACUGUUUGCAACAGUGAUUUCAGCAUUGCUCAUGACGGUUUAAACGACUGUAAAAGGUACGUCCAGGAAGGCCAACCGAAGACCGUGACCCCAGAGCUAAGCUGACAUGUACCCAAACACCCUGAUCACAGAGUUAAGCUGUCAUCUACUCAGAUGCCCUAAUUCCAAAGCCAGCAAAGUGGAAGUGCCCAAGCAUGGCAUGAUGAAGUUCCGCGAGGAGCGCAACCUCCUGGGCCUGGGCCUUGGGGCGGGCAGCUUCCAUGACCGUUAUUUCAUCCUGACCAGCACCUCCCUCAGGCUGUACAAGGAAGUUCGGAGGUAGGCUGCCAUCCACCCAAAUGCUCUGAUCUCAGAGACAAGCUGCUGUCCACCCAAACACGCAGGCGCCUCAGGUAAGCUCACAUCCACCCAAAUGUCCUAACCCCAGAGGUAGGCUGCCAUCCACCCAAAUGCUCUGAUCUCAGAGACAAGCUGCUGUCCACCCAAACACGCAGACCCCUCAGGUAAGCUCACAUCCACCCAAAUGCCCUAACCCCAGAGGUAGGCUGCCUGUGACCCAGCCCCCUGACCCCUGAGGUAACCUCGCUUCCACCUAAACACUCUGAUCUCAGAUGCAAGCUGACAUUUGCCCAAACAUCCUGAUCACAGAAAUAAGCUGCCAUCCACCUAAACGACCUACCCCUAGAGGUAAGCUGACAUCCAUCUAACUGCCUUGAUCCUAGGCUGCCCCAGUACGUCUAGGUGGUGACAAUCCAUCCUACAGGGUUGACAUGAUGUGCUUUCCUGAAGCACACAAAGGACACCUCGGGUUUUAUGAAUGUGUAUGACAGUGUUUUAGCCCGACCCUUGUGCAGAGGUCGGAAGUCUGCGGAUAUGUUCCUUUUUGAACUUUUUCUUUUUGUCUUAACUUUUUAUUGGCAUGCAUAUAAGGUAACAUUUUAAUUGUUUUAUUGGCCAUGUAAUUAGAUUUAAAUGGUGUAUAAUUGUAUUUGCUGGUGGAAUUGCUCUUUUGCCUGUUUUAAGGGUAAUAGUUCUGCAGGUAGUUCUACUUGUUAAAUGUUAUCCUUAAAAUUCUUAUUGUACUGGGUUGGCAUUGAUUUGCAUGGUGUUUCAGCCUUUUAGAUUGUGAUUUUGUGUUAAUGUAAGUAGUACAAGCAUAAUAUUUUUAAAAAAUCGGCGGGGUGCAGUCUGCAGGUAUCGCUUCUCGGCCUUUUGGCUAAGAUCAAGAGGAUUUUACUGACUUUUUACCGCUUUUUACGGACUGCGUCGGGUUUUUUAGAGGAAGGCACGGUGAACC
Brienomyrus brachyistius is the source of this 1434-nucleotide long non-coding RNA. RefSeq lists it as uncharacterized. NCBI's taxonomy places the organism in Eukaryota, Metazoa, Chordata, Actinopteri, Osteoglossiformes, Mormyridae. The transcript is spliced from 6 exons. The record is from RefSeq and is a predicted model, not a curated record.